AAUGAUCAACCUCCCCUAAUGUUUUUGGGGGAAGGCUUGGACUUUGGAGGCUUUUUGCUGGUCUCUUCUCUUUUGAAGCCAGCUCCUCUUAAACGAAUUAGUGGGGUCCCUCUUUGCCGGUCCCUCGACGUGAUAAGAUCUCUCUACGUCCGAGGUUUGGCUUUGUAGGCCCGCUUCUAAUCAUCUCCUUUGAACC
Molecule: unclassified non-coding RNA, 196 nt
Filed under: uncultured Lactifluus
Lineage: Eukaryota; Fungi; Basidiomycota; Agaricomycetes; Russulales; Russulaceae
Description: sequence contains ITS2
Source: RNAcentral